UAAAUAACCACGUCGAAUUAACAAGUAUAUUUUUGCCCUAAAUUGUACUUUUCACUUCGUAUUACCCGUCUUUGUUGUUCCACUCACCGGCCAUGGAAUCCGAGUCUCUGCAACGACGCCGUUCAAGCAGUGCCACCUGCAACAAUGCGCCUGUCAGAGAGAAGAGGCCGAAACGCAGCGAGGUACUUGCCAAGAAGAAAACCGUUGAAGAACUCAUCAAAGCGGCCCGUGCUCAAAAGGACCACCUCGCUCCUUUUCCAGCGUUUCGCCAUUUCCACGCAAAGGGUCUCUCUUUGUGUUUGAAGUCAGGACAUGGCAAUAAACUUUCCUCGACUGUUAAGACUUAUAUUCAGAGUCUCCUUAAGCUAAACAUGGAAGGACCAUAUGGAUCUGAGUGGCCAGAGGAAGAAAAGGUAAAGCGCAGAGAAAUGGUUGAUCAUGAAGCACAUUAUGUAUUUGUGCAUGAGGUUGCCAAUUCAAAUGCUGAUGAGAUGACAACAAUCCUUACUGCAGCAGAGACUUCAACUUGCUGUCUGAAGAAUAGUGGUCCCUUGGUUGGAUUUGUACAGUACCGCUUUGUGUUAGAAGAAGAGAUACCGGUGCUUUAUGUGUAUGAAUUACAGCUUGAGCCUCGUGUUCAGGGGAAGGGACUGGGGAAGUUUUUAAUGCAACUUCUAGAGUUUAUGGCACAAAAGAACUGUAUGGGUGCUGUCAUGCUGACUGUUCAAAAGGCAAAUGUAUUAGCCGUGGAUUUCUAUAUAAGUAAGCUUAGAUACAUCAUAUCAGCUACUUCACCUUCAAAAGUCAACCCAAUGAUGAACAAGAGUUAUGAAAUUCUUUGCAAAGUAUUUAAUGAUGAAGCCAAUACUGUUUUUGGAGAUAGAGAAGAUGAAUAGGUGCGCAGUUAGAGAAGGAUGGCUGAAGUUGUUAGUCCCAUUCUCUUUACUGGACCACCAAAUGGUGUAUGACAGGGCUGCUUGUUAUGUUAGAGGAAAAAACAUGAUUCUGUUGGAUAAUGUUCUUUUUAUCUUAGCCCCUUUUUCUAGUACUUUUGGUUGUAUGUGGCAGAUUAUAUUAGUGGGAAUGUAACACGACAGAAUCCAUUCAUCAUGAAUGUCAGGCACUUUGCUUCUGCUUUGUGCAUUGUACAUUUCAUAGCAAAUCUCAGCUCUUAAACACUGUAAUAGAAAUUUAGGAGCCCUUUAAUGUGCCAGACCUUUUCAUGCGAGCUAAGAUGCAUUGUAUAUUUGAUGCCCCACUUUUCAUGAAAACGUUAUCCAAUGUUCCACUGCAUCUUCAGUUAGGACAACUUUAUCUUUGUGUGCUUACAUUAUCUCGUAUGUAUUUAUGACAACUUUAAAUCAA
RNA transcript from Vigna radiata var. radiata (mung bean), 1365 nucleotides. It is a transcript of the gene named N-alpha-acetyltransferase 40, with no coding region annotated. The record is from RefSeq and is a predicted model, not a curated record. The transcript is spliced from 9 exons. Lineage: Eukaryota; Viridiplantae; Streptophyta; Magnoliopsida; Fabales; Fabaceae.